GAACGCACAUUGCGCCCCUUGGCAUUCCGAAGGGCAUGCCUGUUCGAGCGUCAUGAUCAAAUCUCAAGCCUUGCUUGGUAUUGGGUUUUCGUCUCUCUCGUCUUUUGUACGGGUAUUGACGUGCCUGAAAAUCAAUGACAGUGCCUUUUAGACUCAAGCGUAGCAGACUGACACGCCUUAGAGAACUUUUGUAGGCCCUGUCAAUAAAAUAAUAAGUUGGACCUCGGAUCAGGUAGGGAUACCCGCUGAACUUAAG
Molecule: unclassified non-coding RNA, 256 nt
Filed under: uncultured fungus
Lineage: Eukaryota; Fungi
Description: sequence contains 5.8S rRNA gene
Source: RNAcentral